Molecule: non-coding RNA, 982 nt
Organism: Vicugna pacos (alpaca)
Lineage: Eukaryota; Metazoa; Chordata; Mammalia; Artiodactyla; Camelidae
Source: RefSeq, a predicted model, not a curated record
CUCCUGUGGACACUUCCCCCCCACCCGAGGGAGAAAGGGAAAAAUGUUUGGAUAUAAGGAGAAUGUAUAGCACACACCAGGAUGGUGGGGGGACCAGAGUGACGGAUCCCCAAACUGGCUGAGAAGUAUUAAAGGUGCUUUUCAUACAUAAUUGUAUUUAAUUAUCGAAAACAUCCUGGAAUGUUGUGGUUAUUUACUUAGUUGACAGAUGAGGAAGCAAACAUGGAAAGACCGGCUCAAGGUGGUAUCACUAGGCAGUGUGAGAGCUGGUCUGUUAGGCUGCAAAGCCUGCGACGACGGUUUUGCUCAGCUCCGCCCCUUGAAGCAAGGGGAGGGGGCAGUUUAGUGGGGGGGGACUUUGCUCGUGUGGCUCUCUUAUAAAAGCUGGACGCAGGGCCUGCUGAGGGUGUUGUCUGUGAAGGAGAAAGGUGGGGCUCCUGCCCUUUGCCUCUGCCUUCUUCCCAGUGGUCCCCUGGUCAGGUCUCGGGUGAAGCAGGGUGGUGGAGGGGAGGAUGGGGUGGAUACAAAGCACGUGUUUCCCAAGAAAUACUUGCUCGUUGUCGUGGUGGGCAGUUCUGUUUUAUGAUGGCUCUUGUAGUAGAAGGGGCAGGAAACUUGCAUUGUUUUCACCUUCUCUCUGCCCUUCUUAUUGCACGAGGGUCAAACAUCCCACUUCCUUGUAAGCAGUAUCAGCUAUCGGUAGAUAUCCACUUGGACUCCUUGGUAGUUUUCAUCAAGGAUUGUUUUUCUGAUGAUCUCUGAAAGGUGUGUCAAAAGAUCUCAUCAUGGCCUUUUAGAAAUAACCUUUUCUGUGAGAGUAGAAAACGCUGGAAUAAGACAGGAAAAAUCUAAAAGGCCAGCCAGUAAACUGAAUUUUCUCUUUGAGGUGAAACUUUCAAACAGUCCUUAAAGCGAAUUGUUUGUUCAUUGUUUACUAAAAAAAAAAAAAAAAAAAGGAAAGAAAGAAAAAAAUCUUACGAGA